RNAcentral lists this ribosomal RNA (300 nucleotides) under uncultured bacterium. RNAcentral's name for it is "bacterial SSU rRNA". It matches the Rfam family "Bacterial small subunit ribosomal RNA", at positions 399 to 691 of the family's 1533-position model. The record is from RNAcentral.
GCGUGCGGGAAGAAGGCCUUCGGGUUGUAAACCGCUUUUGUCAGGGAAGAAAUACGCCGGGCUAAUACCUUGGCGGGAUGACGGUACCUGAAGAAUAAGCACCGGCUAACUACGUGCCAGCAGCCGCGGUAAUACGUAGGGUGCGAGCGUUAAUCGGAAUUACUGGGCGUAAAGCGUGCGCAGGCGGUUGUGCAAGACAGAUGUGAAAUCCCCGGGCUCAACCUGGGAACUGCAUUUGUGACUGCACGGCUAGAGUACGGUAGAGGGGGAUGGAAUUCCGCGUGUAGCAGUGAAAUGCGU